Molecule: ribosomal RNA, 465 nt
Filed under: uncultured bacterium
Lineage: Bacteria
Description: partial 16S ribosomal RNA
Rfam family: Bacterial small subunit ribosomal RNA
Source: RNAcentral
CCUACGGGAGGCAGCAGUGGGGAAUAUUGCGCAAUGGGCGAAAGCCUGACGCAGCGACGCCGCGUGCGGGAUGAAGGUCUUCGGAUCGUAAACCUCUGUUAGCAGGGAAGAACGGUCACUGUGCUAAUCAGCAGUGAAUUGACGGUACCUGUAAAGGAAGCACUGGCUCACUCCGUGCCAGCCGCCGCGGUAAUACGGCGGGGGCGAGCGUUAAUCGGAAUUACUGGGCGUAAAGCGCUCGUAGGCGGUAUGUCAAGUCAAGGGUGAAAUCCCCGCGCUCAACGUGGGAACUGCCUUUGAUACUGGCAAACUGGAGUGUGUUAGAGGAUAGUGGAAUGCCAGGUGUAGGAGUGAAAUCCGUAGAUAUCUGGAGGAACAUCAGUGGCGAAGGCGACUAUCUGGCACAUAACUGACGCUGAGGAGCGAAAGCGUGGGUAGCAAACAGGAUUAGAUACCCCGGUAGUC